This 406-nucleotide ribosomal RNA is filed under the name uncultured bacterium. Its description in RNAcentral is "partial 16S ribosomal RNA". It matches the Rfam family "Bacterial small subunit ribosomal RNA", at positions 30 to 526 of the family's 1533-position model. The record is from RNAcentral.
AUUGAACGCUGGCGGCAUGCCUAACACAUGCAAGUCGAACGAGUGGCGGACGGGUGAGUAAUGUCUGGGAAACUGCCCGAUGGAGGGGGGUAACUACUGGAAACGGUAGCUAAUACCGCAUCCCAUCGGCUGUGCCCCGAUGGGAUUAGCUGGUAGGUGAGGUAACGGCUCACCUAGGCGACGAUCCGUAACUGGUCUGAGAGGAUGAUCAGGAAAAUUGGAACGGAGACACGGCCCAGACUCCUACGGGAGGCAGAAGUGGGGAAUAUUGGACAAUGGGCGAAAGCCUGAUCCAGCAAUGCGGCGUGUGUGAAGAAGGUCUUCGGAUUGUAAAGCACUUUAAGUGGGGAGGCGUUACCGACAGAAUAAGCCCCGGCUAACUUCGUGCCAGCAGCCGCGGUAAUAC